Molecule: long non-coding RNA, 2277 nt
Organism: Papio anubis (olive baboon)
Lineage: Eukaryota; Metazoa; Chordata; Mammalia; Primates; Cercopithecidae
Source: Ensembl
GAAGCAGUCAGCAGCCAUGUGAGUUACACUGUGGAGGUCUCCUGCCUCUGUCGGAGAAGCCCUCGGUGCGCGUUUAGGAACUGCAGCCAGCUGGCCUUUCCCUCUUUAUUCAAAAGUCGGAUUCCUCCUUACUGCUCGGCAGACCCCCCAGAGUGCCAGCUGUGCAGCGCCCAAGGGUGCUGAGGGCAGGGGAAGGCAGCUCUGGCAGCUCACGAGGGCAUCCAUGCGCACCCCUGCCAUCUGCGGAGCUGAAGUUUAAGGCAUCCUGUGGGCCCCUACCACACCUGCCUUUGGUGACAGAAGGGCAGGCGUAUGCUCAGUCCUUAUCCUGAAGCCUUCCAGCUGGCUACUUCAUCAUCCGUACGAGUCCACAGGACUGCGGGGACAACAGCUCCCGGGGCCUAAAGACUCAGUCAGUCAAGUGCGGUGGCAAGUGCUUGUGGCCAAGAACAUGGUGUACAGUUCAGAGAGCCUCUCAACACGUUGCUUUUAAGUUGAAGACGGGGCCAGCCCAGGGUAUCAGCAACCUCGGCCCCUGCUCCGUGCACCAUUGCAGGCUGGAGCUAUGGUCUUUCCCCAGAACCACCUGGGCUUCUCACACAUAGAAACAGGGUGACCUCCUAGAUGGGUAGACACGCUGCCCUCCAGCUGAGGGUUGGGGUGAUGAGAUGGGCUGAACUCUGUUCCCCCAAAUUUGUAUGUUGAAGUUGAACCCAGGACCUCAGAACGUGAGUGUAGUUGGAGACAGGGUGAUUAAAGAGGUGAGUAAGGUAAAAUAAGGUCAUUAUGGUGGGCCCUGAUUCAAUAGGACUGCUGUCCUGGGAAGAAGAGAUUAGAUACACACAGAGGGACCACCAUGUGAGCGUGCAGGGAGCAGAUGCCAUCGGCAAGGCGAGGAGAGGCCUCAGAAGGAACCAGCCCUGCCGACAGCCCCGUCUUGGACAUCCAGCCUCCAGAGAUGUGAGAUGAUACAGCUCUGCUGUUUAAGUUGCCAGGUCUGUGGCACAUUAUUACUGCGGCCUCAGCUGACCCACACAGAUGGUCUCUCGGUGAAACUGCCUCCCCGUCUGCCUUCUGUGCGUGCUGGCAGGCCCAGCACAGCUGUCCAGGGAUGCCGCCGGAAGCAGCCGCAGGCCCCUACAGGACCAUCCUCCAGUCCCUAUCCUGCCCUUUCCUUGACAUCCCACCUUCUCCAGCGGUGCUGAUUGGAGCAGCGUCAGAAUCCUCUGGAGCGCUCUGCUGCCCCCACGCCCCAAUUUUCUUAUGUAAUGGCUUUGUCUGGGGCUGGUACUUGUUUUGUCAACAGGAUCCCAGGGGAUGUUGAUGGUGCUGGUCUGGGGACCACGCUUUUGACAACCACUGCUUACAGCAGGACAAAUCAUGUGCAAAUAACACAACAGGCCUCUGCAUUCAUUUCCUAGGGCUGCUGUAACAGAACAUGCCAGUCUGGGUGGUUUAAAGCAACAGAAAUGUUUUCUUUUCCAGUUCUGGGAGGCAAAUACCAGAAAUCGAGGUGUGCGUAGGGUGAAGUUCCCUUUAUCUACAACAGAGCAACGGGGAAUCCAGCCCACGUGUGCAGUUCAGCCUGGGGCAGGGUGGGGCCUGCAAGAAAGCCGAUUCUCCCCGCCAGGCAACUCUCUGGCCAGGCCCUACGGCCACUCACAUCCAAGCUGUGUCCACACUCUUGGACACAGCUGCCUCCUGACCACCCAAGGAGCAUACAACUGUGCAAGAUGUGUCUGAACCGGAAAGGCCUGAGCAGGCCACGGAAGUGGCCAGAGCAUUUGUGCAGAGAACAGGGGGGUCCUUUCCUGGAAGGGAGGGGUGUGGGCUCCCGGUGGGGCCUUCUGAAGCAUGGGACCCCGGUAGAAGCUGCUCCUGCUCCUGUUUAGGGAAAAUGAGAAGCAGCACUCUCCCCCAUCUCCACUUGCCAGGCUUCCAGGCCAUGAUUCCCUUGCUUCUACCCAUGGUGUGGGAGCUCAAGCUCACCGUGGGAGCUUGUUGGAGCUCAGGUCAGGGUCCUGUCCACAGAGAGUCUGCUUUGGAGGGUGUGGCCUGGGCGGGGGCAGCGUCACGUGGCAAGCGGCCCUGGUGAUGCCUGUGGUCAGCGAGCCACCUUGGAGAAGCAGUGGUGUAGGCCCCCCGGGAAGUUCUGGUGGUGAGAGUCACCUGGGAGCUCUGACUUCACCUCACUGCACUGGGAGUCAGAGAUGUGCUCAAAAACACGGCUUCCUGGGAAGGUUUCGAAGCUCAUAAUCAUUCACACGUUGGUGUGAA